RNAcentral lists this ribosomal RNA (903 nucleotides) under uncultured archaeon Arc.118. RNAcentral's name for it is "bacterial SSU rRNA". It matches the Rfam family "Archaeal small subunit ribosomal RNA", at positions 1 to 880 of the family's 1478-position model. The record is from RNAcentral.
UUCCGGUUGAUCCUGCCAGACCCUACUGCUAUCGGGGUGGGACUAAAACAUGCGAGUCGAACGACUUCUAGCCAUGAUGAAGUCGUGGCAUACGGCUCAGUAACACGUGGCUAACCUACCCUUGAGACGGAGACAACCCCGGGAAACUGGGGCUAAUCCCCGAUAGAUGAGAACCCUUGGAACAGGUUCUCGUCCAAAAGGCAUCAAGGCCACGCUUCUCGGUGUCGCUCAAGGAUGGGGCCGCGGCCGAUCAGGCUGUUGGUGAGGCAACGGCUCACCAAACCUAUAACCGGUACGGGCCGUGGGAGCGGGAGCCCGGAGAUGGGAACUGAGACAAGGUCCCAGGCCCUACGGGGCGCAGCAGUUGCGAAAACUCCGCAAUGCACGAAAGUGUGACGGGGCUACCCCGAGUGCCGUCCGCUGAGGAUGGCUUUUCCCCGGUGUAAGGAGCCGGGGGAAUAAGGAGAGGGCAAGUCUGGUGUCAGCCGCCGCGGUAAUACCAGCUCUCCGAGUGGUGGGGAUGCUUAUUGGGCUUAAAGCGUCCGUAGCCUGCCCUUCAAGUCUCUCGUUAAAUCCAGCGAUUCAAUCGUUGGACUGCGGGAGAUACUGUUGGGCUAGGAGGCGGGAGAAGCCGACGGUAUUUCCGGGGUAGGGGUAAAAUCCUAUAAUCCCGGGAGGACCACCAGUGGCGAAGGCGGUCGGCUAGAACGCGCUCAACGGUGAGGGACGAAAGCUGGGGGAGCAAACCGGAUUAGAUACCCGGAUAGUCCCAGCUGUAAACGAUGCGGGCUAGGUGUUGGAGUGGCCACGAGCCACUUCAGUGCCGCAGGGAAGCCAUUAAGCCCGCCGCCUGGGGAGUACGGCCGCAAGGCUGAAACUUAAAGGAAUGGGCGGGGAAGCGCU